Eubalaena glacialis (North Atlantic right whale) is the source of this 3965-nucleotide long non-coding RNA. RefSeq lists it as uncharacterized. The record is from RefSeq and is a predicted model, not a curated record. The transcript has 3 exons. NCBI's taxonomy places the organism in Eukaryota, Metazoa, Chordata, Mammalia, Artiodactyla, Balaenidae.
CUCGGCUCCAGGGCCUCGGCGCCGCGGGGACGAAACGCCGAGGGCGCCGAGGAGGAGGGGAGGGGGGCGCCGAGGGGCACAAGAGUGGGGAAAAGUGCGAAAAGAAGCAACAGCCGCUCCCCCGGAGCCCAGAAAAGUGGACGCCGCGUCCCGGCCGCCCGCCUGCGCCGGGGAUGCGGCGGCGGCGGCGGCUAACGGUCCAGCGAGGCGGCAGGGGCGGCGGGAGCCGCUAGGCGGAGAGACCAGUUUUCUCAGUUGGAGCUCCUCGCCUCUGUGCCUGGAAGGAGUUGCAGGUGUGUGUGGGGAGAGAGUGGUCACCCACAUGGCCCCGGCGCAGCUCGGGGGGCCCCCAGAAUUCCACACACGUGGUGAUACAGGUGUCCCUACAGCUACGUCACUACGUCUGUGAGACAGGCGUCACUUUGUCUACGUCACUACGCCUGUGUUACAGGCAUCACGCGGAAUGAGGAUGCAAGAACUGCCACCUGGCUUCCUCUGAACCACUGCCACGUGCGUCGUCCCCAUGUCGCUCCAGACGCUGGGGACGGCCGAGCUCCAGGGCCAGUCAGCCUCCAAGGUGGGACUCGAUUUCGCCACGGGGCAACAGCUAAAUCAUUUUGCUGAGUACCUGAAACUAACGCAACAUUGUAAAUCAACUCUAUUUCAAUAAAAGCCAGUUAAAAUAAAUGAUGGGGACAGAGUUAGGAAGUGAGAAAAAUUGUCUGAUGCCAAAAAGCACCUGAGCUGAACUGGAAAGAAGGUGUUUCUGAGGAACUUGGUCAGAAAACGUGGCAGGCAGUCUUCGGGCUUGGGUUGUCUGUCUGCAGCUGUGACACAUGGUCGUGACCGCCUGCACCAUUAUUUGGAGACUCAGGCAAGACUAAAAAUGUCUAAUAAAGUGUGCUUCACGUUGAUAAGGCUCUGGAAGCAAGAAUAGAAUUUUAUUGUUUAGUCUGGCAGAAAUUACUAAAACAGUCAUAAAUGAAAACAGUGCCGCCUGAUUCUUUGAGCUAUGUACACGAAACGCUCUUAAGUCCAUAGGGUUUGGUAACCGGGUGAUUACUUGCAGUAUGUGAACGGAAUGAUUUCCUCUUGGCCAGAGAAUACACGAGGAAAGGAGAUUACCCCCCUUAUGGAGUAUUUGCUGUGUCCCCCUCUGUGGAUGGGCCCACCGCUAUCCCUUCACUUCCUCUAUCGAAUACAAACCCUGUCACACACCUUGCCAACCACUCCUCACCUGUGGCAUCGUUCCUCGGAGGCGGGCAGAGGAUGGUCCAGCCGAAGGCAGGACCACAGGAGAGGCAGGAACCUCCAGCCCACUUUCUCCGCAUCCCAGUUCCGGGAUCCAGGCCAGGCAGCACAGGGGCUCUGCCUGUGGCCCUCUCCCCUCUCAGAGGGAGGACAGGUGCGGAAUUGAGAAACCGAGGGCUACGGGCGCUCCCCUUAGCUUCUGCCCUGGCACAGGGCAGGCACCGGGGUGCCCUCUUCCACUUGGGGUACCCGCCAGGGAUUCCCAAUUCCCCACAGGACUACAGUCUUCUCCUUCUUCAGGCCUCGCAUGGUCUCUGCUUUCCCCCAACAGGAGAAGACCUCGGCACCAUGACCUCAGGGCCACGCAGAAGAUGCCUGCCCUUCCAGAUCCUUCAAUGGGGGACAAAGGCUUUCAUUCCUCCAGCAGAGAUGGGGCUGCAGUGCGAACCAGAGCUUCCCAACCUCUGUGCCAGUUGUCAGUGUGUUGACAAACUGGUCUCCUCGGGUGUCGGGCACCUCGGCAGGGCCUGGAGCCUCCCUCCUCAUCCCUCUCCAUGGUCCCUGUGAUGGUACAAAUAGUACCAUUCCCUGUGACAGCCAUGACAUGCAGACAGUCUAAAUGACAGCAGAUCGUCCUAGUGAGGAGAUCCUGGUGAGGAUGGGCCCGAGUUCUGCCAGAGGCAUCUCCGCCCCUCAGCUUUUUAGCCAGAGCAUCACUACCCACCAGAGGGGCGGCCGGGUGCAGGGCUGGGGGCUCUGCUCCAUCCCCGGGGCGCCGGGUGGACCUGAGCCCUGUGGGCCCCACCGAGCUUUUGAAGUGGAAGGUUCCCCCAUUAUUCUAACCACCCCAGAAUCCUCCCUGGCCGCUUUUCUUUUUCUCCUGUUUCACCCAAGGGUAGAGUUGGCCCCAGCCAGCAUCAUGCCCUCCCCCUUCUCUGGCCCUGUGCUGGGAACUCAGAAGCAGGUGUGGGAGCCCGUGGCUGUGCCCUUAGCCGCAGGUCGCGGGGGACACGGCCUCCGUUAGCACGCCGCAGGAAGACCCCAGAACUGACAACCACGCUCGGCUUUGGGGGGUUUACAAAACACAUCCUGCCCCCCAAAAUUGCAGGGAUAUUUUAAAAUUCAAAUGGGUUAUAUUUUCUAAGCAAGAGCUACAUUGCUUUCCCAAAAGCAGUUUUCAGACAUUUCAAAAACUUUAGCUGGUGAGUCAAAAAUCUCCUUUUACUCUUUCUGUUUUCUCUCGCUCUGAAAAUACAUACAUAUGUAUACAUAAGCACACGUCACACUUGGAGGCGUAUCUUCUAGGAUGUAAAUAACAAAGGAGAGUGUGGCGGUUGGAAUCCUGCUGCUUGGAAGAGAUGGGUCUGUGCUCUGCAUCCCAGCACAGCGUUUAGCGCAUUGUUACGUACGGAGCCUCUGUUCCCUUCACGUGCACCCCCGUCUUCCGCUGCGCUCGCUGACCUGACCCGAGGCGGCUGGGCUGACGUCCCGCGCUCGCACCACGUGCUUGGAGAGUUCCCAAGGCCGGCAAGUCAAAUGUUGCGGCCAGGUCAUCGCCUGUUUCCAGCAAAAUGAGUUCCUAUCCAUUUAGGCCCAUCUUACUGCUCUUUGUUAUAACUAUUGCCAAGGAGAAACGAGCAGGUUUGGGUACCACAAGGCAAAAUAAUAUUUGAGAUUUUAACCUAUGCUUAUUUCUUAAUAUUGUAAGCACCCUAUUGUGAUUUGGGAACUUUUGUGUUAGUCUUCGAUCCUUCUCCCACGGAGUCCGGGAGGACUGGGUGCCCUGGCCUUGGCCUUGGGAUGCGCGGUCUCACUCCCUGUGCACAGAGGCGGCGUCCUUUGCACACGGCGGGGCUGAGUGGAGGCUCUAAGCUCGUGUGGCCUGAGACAUUCCAUCGCAGAGGCUCUCCUAGCAACAUGGCGAUGCCAGCAAACCCAACAAUGACCUUUUGUCGUUAGCUCUAUAAAGCCUGUGGCAUGAGUCUCACCAGGAAAUUCAAAGGAUAUUUUGCAAGAGAAGAGCGAUUUCCAGCUGAAGCUUUGAAUCGGUUGCUUUCCUCCAAUCUGCAAAUACCAAACUGGACCAGCACCAGAUUGUUGCUUCAAGAGCAGGACGUACCCAAAGAGGUGAGUCCGGACCGGCCCAGUCCUGGCUCUGGUUCGGGAACCACCUGUGUACCACCGGCAAGUCACUUAACUCUCUAGAUCUCACUGCCCUCAUCUCCACGCGUGGACAGUUACUUCUUGACAGCGCCGGGUACUCGCUAACCGUCCAGAUUCCUGGGCUGACACCCGUUCUCCUGCUGCAUCAGAAUCUCUGGGGCUGUGCUCCACAAACGUGACUUUCAACCAAAGGCAAAUAGAUGACAUUGCUGAACAAUUGUAAAAGUGCUUAGGUAACUAGCUUUCUAAUGUGUUUACUUGGCAUAAAGAGGGCCAGCGCACACUUAGAAUUGGCAUGUUGUGUAUAUGGUGGGGAGCACGUUUUUCUCUAAUAGAUUUUAGAAAGGACUAAACCAACCCAUUUUCUUUGCUGUUUCUGAUUAACUGUCCUCUAUAACAGACUGUAAAUCAUGCACCCCUAUCAGGAAAACACUUUCGAGCAUGUGUUUCCAAUAUUGGCACUUUAAAAAUAUUGAAUAUUAAUAUCUAUUUAUAUACUAUAUUGUGCUUUAGUAGGAACAUAUUAUGAAUAUGUUCCUAAUAUUAAAAAA